RNAcentral lists this ribosomal RNA (1100 nucleotides) under Rutstroemia firma. RNAcentral describes it as "bacterial SSU rRNA". The stretch from base 1 to 901 matches the Rfam family "Eukaryotic small subunit ribosomal RNA". The record is from RNAcentral. Lineage: Eukaryota; Fungi; Ascomycota; Leotiomycetes; Helotiales; Rutstroemiaceae.
AUUCUAGAGCUAAUACAUGCUAAAAACCUCGACUUCGGAAGGGGUGUAUUUAUUAGAUAAAAAACCAAUGCCCUUCGGGGCUCCCUGGUGAUUCAUAAUAACUUAACGAAUCGCAUGGCCUUGCGCCGGCGAUGGUUCAUUCAAAUUUCUGCCCUAUCAACUUUCGAUGGUAGGAUAGUGGCCUACCAUGGUUUCAACGGGUAACGGGGAAUUAGGGUUCUAUUCCGGAGAGGGAGCCUGAGAAACGGCUACCACAUCCAAGGAAGGCAGCAGGCGCGCAAAUUACCCAAUCCCGACACGGGGAGGUAGUGACAAUAAAUACUGAUACAGGGCUCUUUCGAGUCUUGUAAUUGGAAUGAGUACAAUUUAAAUCCCUUAACGAGGAACAAUUGGAGGGCAAGUCUGGUGCCAGCAGCCGCGGUAAUUCCAGCUCCAAUAGCGUAUAUUAAAGUUGUUGCAGUUAAAAAGCUCGUAGUUGAACCUUGGGCCUGGCUGGCCGGUCCGCCUCACCGCGUGCACUGGUCCGGCCGGGCCUUUCCUUCUGGGGAGCCUCAUGCCCUUCACUGGGUGUGUUGGGGAACCAGGACUUUUACUUUGAAAAAAUUAGAGUGUUCAAAGCAGGCCUAUGCUCGAAUACAUUAGCAUGGAAUAAUAGAAUAGGACGUGUGGUUCUAUUUUGUUGGUUUCUAGGACCGCCGUAAUGAUUAAUAGGGAUAGUCGGGGGCAUCAGUAUUCAAUUGUCAGAGGUGAAAUUCUUGGAUUUAUUGAAGACUAACUACUGCGAAAGCAUUUGCCAAGGAUGUUUUCAUUAAUCAGUGAACGAAAGUUAGGGGAUCGAAGACGAUUAUUUGGUCGUUGAAAGCGGAUGCUAGCCUGAUUUUAUCAGGCGAUACCAUCAAAUUACGGGGACUCCCUAAAGCCUCAAUCACCAAACCGGCAUUGAAAGGUGCCGGUGGCCAGGUUAACUCCCUGGGUAUGGUAAAAGUAUUGAGGAUGUGACAAUGGGUAAUCCGUAGCCAAGCUCUAAGGUGGUUCGCCGCUACGAGUACAGUUCACAGACUAGAUGUUGGUGGGAGGCGUGACAAAACACCCUUCUAAGA